Molecule: ribosomal RNA, 693 nt
Filed under: Acinetobacter baumannii OIFC083
Lineage: Bacteria; Pseudomonadati; Pseudomonadota; Gammaproteobacteria; Moraxellales; Moraxellaceae
Description: bacterial SSU rRNA
Rfam family: Bacterial small subunit ribosomal RNA
Source: RNAcentral
AUUGAACGCUGGCGGCAGGCUUAACACAUGCAAGUCGAGCGGGGGAAGGUAGCUUGCUACCGGACCUAGCGGCGGACGGGUGAGUAAUGCUUAGGAAUCUGCCUAUUAGUGGGGGACAACAUCUCGAAAGGGAUGCUAAUACUGCAUACGUCCUACGGGAGAAAGCAGGGGAUCUUCGGACCUUGCGCUAAUAGAUGAGCCUAAGUCGGAUUAGCUAGUUGGUGGGGUAAAGGCCUACCAAGGCGACGAUCUGUAGCGGGUCUGAGAGGAUGAUCCGCCACACUGGGACUGAGACACGGCCCAGACUCCUACGGGAGGCAGCAGUGGGGAAUAUUGGACAAUGGGGGGAACCCUGAUCCAGCCAUGCCGCGUGUGUGAAGAAGGCCUUAUGGUUGUAAAGCACUUUAAGCGAGGAGGAGGCUACUUUAGUUAAUACCUAGAGAUAGUGGACGUUACUCGCAGAAUAAGCACCGGCUAACUCUGUGCCAGCAGCCGCGGUAAUACAGAGGGUGCGAGCGUUAAUCGGAUUUACUGGGCGUAAAGCGUGCGUAGGCGGCUUAUUAAGUCGGAUGUGAAAUCCCCGAGCUUAACUUGGGAAUUGCAUUCGAUACUGGUGAGCUAGAGUAUGGGAGAGGAUGGUAGAAUUCCAGGUGUAGCGGUGAAAUGCGUAGAGAUCUGGAGGAAUACCGAUGG